ACACUCUAUCAGACUUCCCGACCAUAGACGCAGCAGCGCUCUGAGCCUGCGUGCGGGCGUGACCUGCACAUGCCCAGAUGGGGGAGGCGGCUGGGCUCUAGAAAGCUGGCAGCGGUCUGGCGAAUCGGGCUUCGCCACCUCGGCCCGAGAAGACGGUUUCCAGCUGGCCGUCUUUGGCGUUGAAGUCUUGCCCGACGAUUUGCCUUAACUACGAGAGAUGUAUGCUCCUAGAGUUGAAGAAAAGUACACUCCGACUGGGACUCACAGCGGCCACGCGCGUGUUCCCGGAGAUCUCGGGGCCUAGGACACGUCCUCCCUGCCUCUAUCUGGGCUCCAGGACUUGGCCUGGACACGCCAGGCUGGAGCCUCUGCCCUUGUUCUUUUAUCGAUGGCGAGGCCAGAGCAGGAGGCCCGUACCUCGUUCUCCCUACCCUAACCAAAGGGUCCAGAAUCAGCUUCUAUGUAAGCCAUGUGUUCGUCCCAGCUCUCCGGAGACCCAGGGCAGAACCUGUGAUGGCCUGGGGUGCUGUGCGCUCGUCUGCUAGAGAUAGGCCAAGGAGAAGCCUCCAGCGAGAUCCAGGCCCUAAGACAAACUAGCACCUCUGGAAUCAAAACCCAUGAACUGCAGACCACCAGCAAGUCCGAGUUUCAGUCAACUGACCAAGUGACGGACUAGACUUCCCACCACAUGCAGGUUUCAGGGCCCCACUCCUCCAACCGCUGCCCUGCCUUCCACAUGAGAAACGUGGAGAGACCAGGAAUUCAACUGGCAUUGGGAUUCUGGGAACCGCGCAACCAAACAGUGUGUUUGAUUUUCAGCACUGUCAGCCUGCAGGCUGUGGCACGCUCAGGAGUCAUCCCGCAGCACAGCCUUUGUAGCGGUCAUCGCCACCAUGACAGCACAGGGCAGGGCCACUCAGGCGCCCCAGUCACUUGCUGCAGGCUGCAGGCGGCCCCUCGUCCCGAUCAACCUCAGGUGAGAGCUAGAUAAACUGUGAGGCACCACUUCCCAUUGGCGAGGAGCUCAGCCCUGCACUGCAGCCCGAGGGCACGACCAGACCGGUCCCCAAAGUUGCAUCUUUUUGGGUCCCACCUCUGGGGCCACUCCCAGUACAAAUUCUGUAUCAGUCAGGCACGAGUCGGGAUACAAAAAAAUAAUAAUAAUACGUAUAAAAAGUUUUUCAGCAGAGGGAAUUGAAUAGGAGCGGUUGGUCGCUCAGGGAUGGGAGGGCUGAAGGAACCGAGGGAAUACAGGAAGGAGCUGCUGGCCCUCGCCAAAGGGGUGACCCUUUGGCUUUAGGUGGGAUCUCAGUUCUGCUCUCUCAUCACCGCGAGCACCUUGGAAACCGAGCCUGGCGGCUCCUCAAGCGGCCCCAGCUGCAGCCCCGCGCAUUUCCCCACCCCCACCCCCCGUUUUCAUUUACUCUGCUUCCCCAGGGAUUUCCCUCGUCCACCUGUGGGCCACCUACGCAUGUAAAUAAUGUAACUAAGCGCUUCCCGUUACGUAUUUCCUUGUCUUUCCCCCAAGCUGGACUGGCCCCCUUAGAGGGCAGGGGCUGGGUGGCAGAGAAGCACUGCUCCCAGCCUAGUGCCUAGGCAGCAGUGGGUCAUGUGAACAACACACCCCGCCCCCGCCACCGGUGACUGGGGCCGACCCGCCAGCUUGGGUCAACGAGGAACUGGCAGCAGGCAUUCAGAUUCCACCCAGAGUCUCCUCGCUCUUGUCACGCGUGCACAAGAUACGCACCACCCAGAAAGCUUCUGUUGAGAGUUUAAUAAAUUUGGUCAUGUAAAAA
Long non-coding RNA from Manis pentadactyla (Chinese pangolin), 1796 nucleotides. RefSeq lists it as uncharacterized. The transcript has 4 exons. NCBI's taxonomy places the organism in Eukaryota, Metazoa, Chordata, Mammalia, Pholidota, Manidae. The record is from RefSeq and is a predicted model, not a curated record.